This 468-nucleotide ribosomal RNA is filed under the name uncultured bacterium. Its description in RNAcentral is "partial 16S ribosomal RNA". It matches the Rfam family "Bacterial small subunit ribosomal RNA", at positions 28 to 507 of the family's 1533-position model. The record is from RNAcentral.
GACGAACGCUGGCGGCGUGCUUAACACAUGCAAGUCGAACGGAAAGGCCCUGCUUUUGUGGGGUGCUCGAGUGGCGAACGGGUGAGUAACACGUGAGUAACCUGCCCUUGACUUUGGGAUAACUUCAGGAAACUGGGGCUAAUACCGGAUAGGAGCUCCUGCUGCAUGGUGGGGGUUGGAAAGUUUCGGCGGUUGGGGAUGGACUAGCGGCUUAUCAGCUUGUUGGUGGGGUAGUGGCUUACCAAGGCUUUGACGGGUAGCCGGCCUGAGAGGGGGACCGGCGUCAUUGGGACUGCGAUACGGCCCAGACUCCUACGGGAGGCAGCAGUGGGGAAUAUUGCACAAUGGGCGGAAGCCUGAUGCAGCAACGCCGCGUGCGGGAUGACGGCCUUCGGGUUGUAAACCGCUUUCGCCUGUGACGAAGCGUGAGUGACGGUAAUGGGUAAAGAAGCACCGGCUAACUACGUG